This is a long non-coding RNA of Scylla paramamosain (green mud crab), 568 nucleotides long. RefSeq lists it as uncharacterized. The transcript is spliced from 3 exons. NCBI's taxonomy places the organism in Eukaryota, Metazoa, Arthropoda, Malacostraca, Decapoda, Portunidae. The record is from RefSeq and is a predicted model, not a curated record.
UUAAUAGAAAGCGCAAUGGCUCUAUUUAUUUCUAAGUUAUUUAUGAAGAGAACCAUUGGGUCGGCAAUAAACAGUAAACAACCAGCGCGGAUGGCCUGGCUUGGUGGGUCCGGGGGCUGCGUUGAUGUUAUUUAGUGCGCAUAUAUUGGCUUCCCUGCUCUUCUGACGGGCCUGUGACCACACUGGCGGGGACUACGUGGCUUCAGAUAGCAGAAGCAAGGACGAAGAAGAAGAAAAAAAAAAAAGAAAGAAAACGAAAAGAAAAUUACAACAAGAGCAACAACAACAACAACAACAGCAAACAACAGCAGCAUCAAUAACAACAACAACAACAAACGACGUAAGAAUCAAUGUUCGUUGACAAAUCAAAACCACCGCAACCACCACUGACCACCACCACCACCACCACCAACAACAACAACAACAGCAACAGCAACAUCAAUAACACGACCACUAUGAAGAAGCAUUACAAAGAAAAAAAAAAGAUAAAAUAUAUAUAUUGGGAAAUUAAAUAAAAACAAACGACCGCCAUUAAACACUUACAACACACACACACACACACACACAC